AUGACAUUUGUGAGCAUUGAUGUUACAUUCCGUGUGUCAAAACCUUCUUAUGGUGAGAAAAAUGAUCUAAGCAUCAUGUCUGAAGGCCUUGACCAAUCUCGGGUUGGUGAAAUUGGUCAAGAGGGGGAUAGUAGUGGCACAUUAACUCAUGUGGCUCCUGUGACACAAGUAUCGACCUACACUAGUGAUGCGCAGGUUGGUGCAUCGGCUCAAGUUGGUAGCGUGCCUGGCAGUGUGCCGAGGUGGACAUCAGAGCAAGCGAAGCAGCUCAAGGUGUAUUCAUGGAAGAGUGGUAAUGUGUUACACAUCAGGGGGAGCAACUAG
RNAcentral lists this ribosomal RNA (324 nucleotides) under Triticum aestivum (bread wheat). RNAcentral describes it as "partial small subunit ribosomal RNA". The record is from RNAcentral. Lineage: Eukaryota; Viridiplantae; Streptophyta; Magnoliopsida; Poales; Poaceae.